GACAGAGGGUGCUAGCGUUGUUCGGAAUUACUGGGCGUAAAGGGCGCGUAGGCGGCUUGUUUAGUCGGGUGUGAAAGCCCAGGGCUCAACCCUGGAAUUGCCUUCGAUACUGUUUGGCUAGAGACCGGAAGAGGUAAGUGGAACUGCGAGUGUAGAGGUGAAAUUCGUAGAUAUUCGCAAGAACACCAGUGGCGAAGGCGGCUUACUGGUCCGGUUCUGACGCUGAGGCGCGAAAGCGUGGGGAGCAAACAGG
This 253-nucleotide ribosomal RNA is filed under the name uncultured bacterium. RNAcentral describes it as "partial 16S ribosomal RNA". It matches the Rfam family "Bacterial small subunit ribosomal RNA", at positions 524 to 776 of the family's 1533-position model. The record is from RNAcentral.